UAGUUCGGGAUAGCCACUGGAAACGGUGAUUAAUACCGGAUACUCCUUCUUGUUAUAAGACAAGUCGGGAAAGUUUUUCGCUAAGGGAUCAGUCUAUGUUCCAUCAGCUCGUUGGUGAGGUAAUGGCUCACCAAGGCUAUGACGGAUAUCUGGUUUGAGAGGAUGAUCAGACACACUGGAACUGAGACACGGUCCAGACUCCUACGGGAGGCAGCAGUGAGGAAUAUUGCACAAUGGAGGAAACUCUGAUGCAGCAACGCCGCGUGGAGGAUGACGCAUUUCGGUGUGUAAACUCCUUUUAUUAGGGAAGAUAAUGACGGUACCUAAUGAAUAAGCACCGGCUAACUCCGUGCCAGCAGCCGCGGUAAUACGGAGGGUGCAAGCGUUACUCGGAAUCACUGGGCGUAAAGGGUGCGUAGGCUGGCUUUUAAGUCAGAUGUGAAAUCCAAUGGCUCAACCAUUGAACUGCAUUUGAAACUGAAAGCCUAGAGUUCAGAAGGGGCAGAUGGAAUUAGUGGUGUAGGGGUAAAAUCCGUAGAUAUCACUAGGAAUAUCAAAAGCGAAGGCGAUCUGCUGGGAUGAUACUGACGCUGA
Molecule: ribosomal RNA, 594 nt
Filed under: uncultured bacterium
Lineage: Bacteria
Description: bacterial SSU rRNA
Rfam family: Bacterial small subunit ribosomal RNA
Source: RNAcentral